This 376-nucleotide ribosomal RNA is filed under the name uncultured bacterium. RNAcentral describes it as "bacterial SSU rRNA". It matches the Rfam family "Bacterial small subunit ribosomal RNA", at positions 524 to 898 of the family's 1533-position model. The record is from RNAcentral.
UACGAAGGUGGCAAGCGUUACUCGGAAUUACUAGGCGUAAAGGGCAGGUAGGUGGUUUGAUAAGUCUGUUGUGUAAGCUCCUGGCUUAACUGGGAGAGGUCAACGGAUACUGUCAGGCUUGAGUAUAGGAGAGGGUACUGGAAUUCCCGGUGUAGCGGUGAAAUGCGCAGAGAUCGGGAGGAACACCAAAGGCGAAAGCAGGUACCUGGACUAUUACUGACACUCAGCUGCGAAAGCUAGGGGAGCAAACAGGAUUAGAUACCCUGGUAGUCCUAGCCGUAAACGAUGCACAUUAGACGUGAGGGGUAUCGACCCCCUUCGUGUCGACGCAAACGCAUUAAAUGUGCCGCCUGGGGAGUACGGCCGCAAGGUUGAA